Molecule: ribosomal RNA, 498 nt
Filed under: uncultured Clostridium sp.
Lineage: Bacteria; Bacillati; Bacillota; Clostridia; Eubacteriales; Clostridiaceae
Description: bacterial SSU rRNA
Rfam family: Bacterial small subunit ribosomal RNA
Source: RNAcentral
AGAGUUUGAUCCUGGCUCAGGAUGAACGCUGGCGGCGUGCUUAACACAUGCAAGUCGAGCGAUGAAGUUUCCUUCGGGAAACGGAUUAGCGGCGGACGGGUGAGUAACACGUGGGUAACCUGCCUCAUAGAGUGGAAUAGCCUUCCGAAAGGAAGAUUAAUACCGCAUAACGUUGAAAGAUGGCAUCAUCAUUCAACCAAAGGAGCAAUCCGCUAUGAGAUGGACCCGCGGCGCAUUAGCUAGUUGGUGGGGUAACGGCCUACCAAGGCGACGAUGCGUAGCCGACCUGAGAGGGUGAUCGGCCACAUUGGGACUGAGACACGGCCCAGACUCCUACGGGAGGCAGCAGUGGGGAAUAUUGCACAAUGGGGGAAACCCUGAUGCAGCAACGCCGCGUGAGUGAUGAAGGUUUUCGGAUCGUAAAGCUCUGUCUUUGGGGAAGAUAAUGACGGUACCCAAGGAGGAAGCCACGGCUAACUACGUGCCAGCAGCCGCGGU